RNAcentral lists this long non-coding RNA (2818 nucleotides) under Ricinus communis (castor bean). Its description in RNAcentral is "long non-coding RNA (RCOM_LNC000991)". The record is from RNAcentral. Lineage: Eukaryota; Viridiplantae; Streptophyta; Magnoliopsida; Malpighiales; Euphorbiaceae.
UCUUUUUCCCUUUCUUCUUCAACUUUUAGGCAAUGCCACAAAUGCAUGAUUGGCUCCAUUUCAUUGUUAACUUGAAUGUGGUACUUACACAGAAACCGAAUUGCACUUCUCUCUCUAUGUAUGCUCCCCAAAAAUUCAAUGGAUACUGAAAUACGCAUUUUUAAUAGUCUACUCAGCAGUCACUUACUCUGCUGUUAUGACAUCAUCUUAAUUGUUUCCAAACAUCGAUCUUUCUUCAAUAAGGUAAGCAUUGUUUCCUUUCUUUCUCUUUGGAUAUACAGUUGAUUUUUCGUUUUAAUCAUUUCGCCUUAUGAAUUAUUGAUUCUUUGUAUGAAGAGAGCUACAUAUAUUUUCUUUGCUAUACCUCUUUUAUAGUCGUCUAUUACUUAGAACCAUCACAUUUUCUUUUAAUUAAUUAACAAUGAACUGAGAAUUACUUAAAUGAACGUAAUUCUUUUUUAAGUUAUCUUCAUCUGUUCUUCCACCAUUAAAUUUUGCAAGAGUUUACGCCAUUACUACAGAAUUAAACAAUGUGGUGCUGGGCAGCAAAGACAAUAUAUAACUGUGGUCCUCCAUAUCUGGAAAUCUAGAAUAGUCAUUCCAAUCCAUUGAAUUGCAUAUUAUUAAUUCAUGAAAGCAUGACUUUAUUGGAGGCUAUAAUUUCAGUGUGGUAGGAUCUUAAGAUGGUGAAAUAAAUUCUGAGCUGCUUUACUCAAUCGAGGUAAAUGUGGCUUAAUUGUUAUCAGCUGGUGGCAUUAUUUUAACAUUUUUCCCUUUUAGGCCCCAAUUUUUCAGUUUUUAUUAGACCUGUUACCUGUACUGUGUUUGAGUAAACAAAUGAAAUAAACAUCUGAGUAGCAGACAAUGCAAGCUGUCUAUUUUCAGAUCCAAAGUGGCUAUUAGUACUUUAGAUUGUCAGGAGAAACAUAGAAAGUAACUAGAACCAAAGAUAUGGCAGAAGCCAGAAAUGUCUCAGGAUUCUCAGAUAUUGGGAUGCGGGCAACUCUUUAAGCUUAGAUUUUAAUCUUGAGAUUAUUUUUCUUUUCAUGAGCAUAAAUACUGUUCGCAAAUUACCAGCCUUUCCCUCCACAAUAUAUAUUUCUUGAUUGCUCCCGGGGAGGAGUUGAAUUGGCCAGAGUCAAGCUAGUUUUGUCAGUUUAAAGAACUUUUGAAGUUUUUAAAAUUUAACCUUUAACUAUUUCUUUUUUUUUUUUUAGAAAUUAUUUAUUAUCCUUUUAAUUGAGGUAUUUCGAAAAUAUAUGCCUAUUCCAAUAAAUAAUAGUAUCUCUCAUCCUAUCCCAUAUAUUAAGUUGACAAAAGUUUUAUCCUAUUUCCUUUUAUGUCAUUUUUAGUAUUUUGAGAUAAGUUACAUGUUUAAUGUGCAUGCAUAUUACAUCUUUAAAAAAUAACUUUAUUUACAGUUAAUUCCUAACUUCCUAUUAAUUUUCUAUUUUCUUAUUUUUUUACAUUUUUUUUAACCCUUCAACCAUAGAUAAAAUACAUUAAUAUUUCUAUUAUAAAAAUAAAAUUAAAAAGAUAAAAUAAUAAUACAGCAAUAUAUUAACUAUGGUAUAAUAUAUAUUUUUAAAAAUAAAUAAAAAAUAUUAUUAUAUAAGAAAAUAUUUUUUAGGGUAAUCCAAAUUGGAAGAUUUUAUUGCUGUUUAUUUACGGGUUAAAGUGAAUUUUUGAAUUCAUUAUUAUCUUUAGAGUUAGAGAGAUUAAUUCACAGCACCGCCCUCUCGGAAUCACAAUCAAUGGAAAAAGAAUCCGAAUUAAAUAAAGUAAAACAAGAGCAAAACAAUAUUUAGAGAAAAAAAAAAAAGCAAGAAAAGGAAAGCUUGUUAAUUAGAAUGACAAGCAGUCUACUAAUGCCUUUGUUUGAAAAGAGAGAGAUGAGAGAAGUACAAAUUAGAUAAUUAAGUUGCCUCUAGUCCUACCUCAUUAACCCUAACCCUAAUCCUAAAACAAUACAGAAAACAACCAUAUUAGAACUGACUCCACUUUCAUCUUUGAGAAGCCAAAGUCAAUGCCCGAACCUAUAACCCUGGCAGGGUGAUGAAUUGCCUUUCGCCAUGUUAAAACACCACGAGGCAAGGAUCAUGUGAGGUGCGUUCUUGACUUCUUUCAUUAAAUUUUCUGAAUCAUCUGGUCUUUUUUUGCAUUUUUUCCCUCGUUAUAUAUAUAUAUAUAUAUAUAUAUAUAUAUUAUCCCUGCAAUGACGAAGAAAUAGGGUUAAUCCUUUUUUUAUUUCUUUACUUUUCUUGGGACAAAGAAAUAGGGUUAAUCAUACAACAAAUGUUAAUGUCAAUUUCAUUAUAACGAAAGGUAGCAGAACUCUACAAUUAAUGAGAGAAAAUUUUCGAAUUGGCAAAAACUCCAAUUUGUACAUAAAAGUCAGUCAAAUUAUCGAAUUGAAACGAAAUAAAAACUCAAAGUUAGCGUUAAAACAUGAAAUUUUGUGACCUUCAUAGAAUUCAUAGUGAUUACUGGUAUAGUAUAACAAAAUUUACUCACAUUAACCUUCUAUCUAGUUAUGGUUAAAAAAGAAAACCCUUAUAUCUUGUAAAAGAAAAGCACAAAUUUACUCACCGGAAGAUAGGCCUUUCGAUCAUGCAGUCUCGCAUGUAACUGCUGCUUUGAUCCUUUCAACUGUGCACUUAAUUAGAUUGUUCACUGUCGCCACUGAUCCAAGAGAGAGUUUUGCAGUUGGAAUUGAAUCCACCAGGAUUUGAAAUGCAACAGUGACAAGAGCACCGCCGGACCCAACAUCAAGAAUUAUUCCAGGGCUGAAUCCAGGUCCAUCAGGAAGUAUAGCAAA